This 252-nucleotide ribosomal RNA is filed under the name uncultured bacterium. RNAcentral describes it as "partial 16S ribosomal RNA". It matches the Rfam family "Bacterial small subunit ribosomal RNA", at positions 525 to 776 of the family's 1533-position model. The record is from RNAcentral.
ACGGAGGGUGCAAGCGUUAUCCGGAUUUAUUGGGUUUAAAGGGUCCGUAGGCGGAUCAUUAAGUCAGUGGUGAAAUCCGACAGCUCAACUGUCGAACUGCCAUUGAUACUGAUGAUCUUGAGUACGGUUGAAGUAGGCGGAAUAUGACAUGUAGCGGUGAAAUGCUUAGAUAUGUCAUGGAACACCGAUUGCGAAGGCAGCCUACUAAGCCGUUACUGACGCUGAGGGACGAAAGUGUGGGGAGCGAACAGG